CGGUUAAAAAGCUCGUAGUUGGAUCUCGGCGGGCAGGGGGUGGUUCGCUCUUCAGCGCUACUGCCCCGCUUUGCCCGUGUGAUUGGCGGAGGUUUCGGGGUGCUCUUCGUUGAGUGACUCGGAGCGCCGUCAGGUUUACUUUGAAAAAAUUAGAGUGCUCAAAGCAGGCUUUUCACGCUUGAAUAUUCGUGCAUGGAAUAAUGGAAUAGGAACUCGUUUCUAUUUUGUUGGUUUUCGGAAAUCGAGUUAAUGAUUAACAGGGACAAUUGGGGGCAUUAGUAUUCAGACGACAGAGGUGAAAUUCUUGGACCGUCUGAAGACUGACUACUGCGAAAGCAUUUGCCAAGAGUGUUUUCAUUAAUCAAGAACGAAAGUUAGAGGUUCGAAGGCGAUCAGAUACCGCCCUAGUUCUAACCAUAAACGAUGCCAGCUAGCGAUCUGCCGAGUUUUUUUUGUAGGCUCCGCAGGAAGCUUUCGGGAAACCAAAGCUUUUGGGUUCCGGGGGAAGUAUGGUUGCAAAGCUGAAACUUAAAGGAAUUGACGGAAGGGCACCACCAGGAGUGGAGCCUGCGGCUUAAUUUGACUCAACACGGGAAAUCUCACCAGGCCCGGACACUGGAAAGGAUUGACAGAUUGAGAGCUCUUUCUCGAUUCGGUGGGUGGUGGUGCAUGGCCGUUCUUAGUUGGUGGAGUGAUUUGUCUGGUUAAUUCCGAUAAC
Molecule: ribosomal RNA, 718 nt
Filed under: uncultured marine eukaryote
Lineage: Eukaryota
Description: SSU rRNA
Rfam family: Eukaryotic small subunit ribosomal RNA
Source: RNAcentral